This 1009-nucleotide ribosomal RNA is filed under the name Neopyrenochaeta thailandica. RNAcentral describes it as "SSU rRNA". It matches the Rfam family "Eukaryotic small subunit ribosomal RNA", at positions 86 to 1104 of the family's 1831-position model. Lineage: Eukaryota; Fungi; Ascomycota; Dothideomycetes; Pleosporales; Neopyrenochaetaceae. The record is from RNAcentral.
ACUGCGAAUGGCUCAUUAAAUCAGUUAUCGUUUAUUUGAUAGUACCUUACUACUUGGAUAACCGUGGUAAUUCUAGAGCUAAUACAUGCUGAAAACCCCAACUUCGGAAGGGGUGUAUUUAUUAGAUAAAAAACCAACGCCCUUCGGGGCUUCUUGGUGAUUCAUGAUAACUUUACGGAUCGCAUAGCCUUGCGCUGGCGACGGUUCAUUCAAAUUUCUGCCCUAUCAACUUUCGAUGGUAAGGUAUUGGCUUACCAUGGUUUCAACGGGUAACGGGGAAUUAGGGUUCGAUUCCGGAGAGGGAGCCUGAGAAACGGCUACCACAUCCAAGGAAGGCAGCAGGCGCGCAAAUUACCCAAUCCCGACACGGGGAGGUAGUGACAAUAAAUACUGAUACAGGGCUCUUUUGGGUCUUGUAAUUGGAAUGAGUACAAUUUAAACCUCUUAACGAGGAACAAUUGGAGGGCAAGUCUGGUGCCAGCAGCCGCGGUAAUUCCAGCUCCAAUAGCGUAUAUUAAAGUUGUUGCAGUUAAAAAGCUCGUAGUUGAAACUUGGGUCUGGCUGGCAGGUCCGCCUCACCGCGUGUACUUGUCCGGCCGGGCCUUCCUUCUGGAGAACCUCAUGCCCUUCACUGGGCGUGUUGGGGACCAGGACUUUUACUUUGAAAAAAUUAGAGUGUUCAAAGCAGGCCUUUGCUCGAAUACGUUAGCAUGGAAUAAUAGAAUAGGACGUGCGGUUCUAUUUUGUUGGUUUCUAGGACCGCCGUAAUGAUUAAUAGGGACAGUCGGGGGCAUCAGUAUUCAAUUGUCAGAGGUGAAAUUCUUGGAUUUAUUGAAGACUAACUACUGCGAAAGCAUUUGCCAAGGAUGUUUUCAUUAAUCAGUGAACGAAAGUUAGGGGAUCGAAGACGAUCAGAUACCGUCGUAGUCUUAACCGUAAACUAUGCCGACUAGGGAUCGGGCGAUGUUCUUUUUUUUGACUCGCUCGGCACCUUACGAGAAAUCAAAGU